This 165-nucleotide ribosomal RNA is filed under the name uncultured bacterium. RNAcentral describes it as "partial 16S rRNA". It matches the Rfam family "Bacterial small subunit ribosomal RNA", at positions 355 to 511 of the family's 1533-position model. The record is from RNAcentral.
UGGGGAAUAUUGGACAAUGGGCGAAAGUCUGACCGAGCAACGCCGCGUGAGUGAAGAAGGUUUUCGGAUCGUAAAACUCUGUUGGUGGAGAAGAACGUUGGUGAGAGUGGAAAGCUCAUCAAGUGACGGUAACUACCCAGAAAGGGACGGCUAACUACGUGCCAG